Molecule: unclassified non-coding RNA, 110 nt
Filed under: Yersinia enterocolitica (type O:5,27) str. YE149/02
Lineage: Bacteria; Pseudomonadati; Pseudomonadota; Gammaproteobacteria; Enterobacterales; Yersiniaceae
Source: RNAcentral
UGAGACAAAACUGCAUGUCAGUUUUGAACAACGCUUGCGUUGACCCGAAGGGCGAGGCCAGAGGCCGAGUCAUCCCGCACGACCCACCAUUAUAUCCAGUUCUUCAGCAA